RNAcentral lists this ribosomal RNA (731 nucleotides) under Bacillus velezensis. RNAcentral describes it as "bacterial SSU rRNA". It matches the Rfam family "Bacterial small subunit ribosomal RNA", at positions 52 to 755 of the family's 1533-position model. Lineage: Bacteria; Bacillati; Bacillota; Bacilli; Caryophanales; Bacillaceae. The record is from RNAcentral.
UACACGCGAGUCGAGCGGACAGAUGGGAGCUUGCUCCCUGAUGUUAGCGGCGGACGGGUGAGUAACACGUGGGUAACCUGCCUGUAAGACUGGGAUAACUCCGGGAAACCGGGGCUAAUACCGGAUGGUUGUUUGAACCGCAUGGUUCAGACAUAAAAGGUGGCUUCGGCUACCACUUACAGAUGGACCCGCGGCGCAUUAGCUAGUUGGUGAGGUAACGGCUCACCAAGGCGACGAUGCGUAGCCGACCUGAGAGGGUGAUCGGCCACACUGGGACUGAGCACACGGCCCAGUAGCUCCUACGGGAGGCAUGCACGUACGCGUGUAAUCUUCCGCAAUGGCACGAAAGUCUGACGGAGCAACGCCGCGUGAGUGAUGAAGGUUUUCGGAUCGUAAAGCUCUGUUGUUAGGGAAGAACAAGUGCCGUUCAAAUAGGGCGGCACCUUGACGGUACCUAACCAGAAAGCCACGGCUAACUACGUGCCAGCAGCCGCGGUAAUACGUAGGUGGCGAAGCGUUGUCCGGAAUUAUUGGGCGUAAAGGGCUCGCAGGCGGUUUCUUAAGUCUGAUGUGAAAGCCCCCGGCUCAACCGGGGAGGGUCAUUGGAAACUGGGGAACUUGAGUGCAGAAGAGGAGAGUGGAAUUCCACGUGUAGCGGUGAAAUGCGUAGAGAUGUGGAGGAACACCAGUGGCGAAGGCGACUCUCUGGUCUGUACUGACGCUGAGGAGCG